RNAcentral lists this transfer-messenger RNA (212 nucleotides) under Pantoea sp. Its description in RNAcentral is "partial transfer-messenger RNA". It matches the Rfam family "transfer-messenger RNA", at positions 1 to 221 of the family's 374-position model. From Rfam's summary of the family: Bacterial tmRNA, also known as 10Sa RNA or SsrA, is named for its dual tRNA and mRNA-like properties. Its role is to liberate the mRNA from a stalled ribosome. The record is from RNAcentral. Lineage: Bacteria; Pseudomonadati; Pseudomonadota; Gammaproteobacteria; Enterobacterales; Erwiniaceae.
GGGGCUGAUUCUGGAUUCGACGGGAUUUGCGAAACCCAAGGUGCAUGCCGAGGUGCGGUAGGCCUCGCUAAAAAACCGCAAAAAAAUAGUCGCAAACGACGAAAACUACGCACUAGCAGCUUAAUAACCUGCUUAGAGCCCUCUCUCCCUAGCCUCCGCUCUUAGGACGGGGAUCAAGAGAGGUCAAACCCAAAAGAGAUCGCGUGGAUGCC